AACAGUUCACAUUGAUGCUUUAAAUCUUAGAGGAUCUUCUUGCUUAUGGUUGGUAUGGACAGUGGCUCCAUUCUUCCAUUUGCUAUAAUUCCAACCAUAAUAUAGACCAGAUCACUUUUUGGAAAGUAAAAAGCUGCCUGGAAUCUUAGCUUCUUCUCCCCGGUUGACAUGAUUUCUUGGCACAUCCCCGAUUCUCUUGUGCUUAUCAAGCAAGUUGGGAGUGGGCACCAACUUUCGCUAGCGGAAGCAAUCUUGAUUAAAGCAGCAAGGAAGGUACAUAAACAUGACCUUCUCUAAAAAAGUUUCAGUUAAUUAAAUCUUGCCUUACCUUAAGACUCUAUUUAUUUGUUGAUGCACAUUUUUUUAUUUUGAUAUGUUUAGCUCUAAGCGAGGCUAUUUUUUGAACUGACGUUCUGUUAAGCACCAGUAAGCAGCACGGACGGUCUGUUACUAUACCUCCUUGUUUGGGAAAGUAAAUAUUUUCUGUGGGGUAGUGAGUUUGUAAAGAGAGAAGAAGAAAUCGAAGAUAGACACCCGCAGCGGUCCUACGGCUGCUUGAGAAGUUUCAACCUAUCGUCCUGUUGGUUGGUGAUGCCCUAACUGCAAUCACAGUGACAGUAAGACCGGCUUGCCAGAACUGUUUCCGGGAAACGACUCUCCGAUGUUAGACCUUCGGAAUUUUAGAGAGAGAGAGUAUGCACAUGCCUCCAUGAGAACCACAACAUUCCCUUUUGUGUUCCAACCCAGCGCGCGGCUUGACGUGUCAGCUGUCCCAUCACUCGACAAGCUAUGGCUCGGCGCGUGUCGAUACGCGUCAACCGUUGUGUCAGUGAGUAGGCUGCUGACCCCGCCGUACCCUUAUGGCGUGACUGGUGGCUAAUGAUCAACUAAUGGUGUCUAAAUCGACGGCAUGGGGGCUGAUAAAAGGUGUUCUAUCAUGCAAGUCACCUUCUGUCCCCUGACAUCCCUUGGAAAUCACGUCGGCUGUCAUUCUUCGUCCAAGUUUCUAACACGGUUAUUGUUCCGAGCUCGCUGACCAGUGGCACCUCGAAUAUAACGAAGGCUUUGGCUCGAACGGUACUUUUAUUCGCGACUGCACCGAGCUUUGGCGCAGAAGGUCUCCGAGCUCGCAGGUCUCGGCAGCUCGGUGGAGACCACUGCCCUAGUAAGGCCGACGUUCCAUCGAAUGUGAACUGAACUCCGGCGCAAGGUCGACCGAGCUUGCUCACUAGCGACAGCCCGUCCAAGGUCCCUGCCAUAAUAAGGUUUGGCGACGUAAUCGUGUAUUUUGUCCCUUUACGUUUUCGACUAGUAGUUAAGCAGACUAAUGGUUGAGAAUACAAGAGAAAAUGGUGGGCUUGCCGUAAUCAUUGGAUGAGAGAGACAUGGGGAACUGAAGAAUUUUGUUCUGUGCUGGUCCUUUACAUCAUCUUUGUGAUAUUUGGAAUCCUUAUCAUUUGAAAUCUUCCUGUGAGAAUGAAAUGCACUAGGAAUCCUCUUUCUCAAUGAUUUAAAAGCUUUUC
This 1523-nucleotide long non-coding RNA is filed under the name Actinidia chinensis (golden kiwifruit). RNAcentral's name for it is "long non-coding RNA (ACHI_LNC002673)". Lineage: Eukaryota; Viridiplantae; Streptophyta; Magnoliopsida; Ericales; Actinidiaceae. The record is from RNAcentral.